AUUGAACGCUGGCGGCAUGCUUUACACAUGCAAGUCGAGCGGCAGCGCGGGGGCAACCCUGGCGGCGAGCGGCGAACGGGUGAGUAAUACAUCGGAACGUGUCCCGUAGUGGGGGAUAGCCCGGCGAAAGCCGGAUUAAUACCGCAUAUGCUCUACGGAGGAAAGUGGGGGACUCGCAAGGGCCUCACGCCAUGGGAGCGGCCGAUGUCCGAUUAGCUUGUUGGCGGGAAGUAGUCCGACCCAACGACGGACGACGUACGUACGGUACGUCGGUUCGGUUCGUAGGAAGGGAGGUAGUAGUACUACGACCGGACCAACCUACGGGUACGGGUACGUAGGACGAACCGGACCCCGGACCGAACGUACCCUUA
RNAcentral lists this ribosomal RNA (371 nucleotides) under uncultured bacterium. Its description in RNAcentral is "bacterial SSU rRNA". It matches the Rfam family "Bacterial small subunit ribosomal RNA", at positions 28 to 345 of the family's 1533-position model. The record is from RNAcentral.